GCCGGUGUAGCUUAAUUAAAGCAUAAUACUGAAGAUGUUAAGACGGGCCCUAAAAAGCCCCAUGGGCA
RNAcentral lists this transfer RNA (68 nucleotides) under Centropyge heraldi (yellow angelfish). RNAcentral describes it as "tRNA-Phe". It matches the Rfam family "tRNA". From Rfam's summary of the family: Transfer RNA (tRNA) molecules are approximately 80 nucleotides in length. Their secondary structure includes four short double-helical elements and three loops (D, anti-codon, and T loops). RNAcentral also lists the same sequence under 1 other name. Lineage: Eukaryota; Metazoa; Chordata; Actinopteri; Pomacanthidae. The record is from RNAcentral.